RNAcentral lists this transfer RNA (76 nucleotides) under Desulfovibrio sp. RNAcentral's name for it is "tRNA-Phe". It matches the Rfam family "tRNA". From Rfam's summary of the family: Transfer RNA (tRNA) molecules are approximately 80 nucleotides in length. Their secondary structure includes four short double-helical elements and three loops (D, anti-codon, and T loops). The record is from RNAcentral. RNAcentral also lists the same sequence under 1 other name. Lineage: Bacteria; Pseudomonadati; Thermodesulfobacteriota; Desulfovibrionia; Desulfovibrionales; Desulfovibrionaceae.
GCCGAGAUAGCUCAGUAGGUAGAGCGGGGGCCUGAAAAGCCCUGUGUCAGCAGUUCAAUUCUGUUUCUCGGCACCA